This is a long non-coding RNA of Bactrocera dorsalis (oriental fruit fly), 942 nucleotides long. RefSeq lists it as uncharacterized. The record is from RefSeq and is a predicted model, not a curated record. The transcript has 4 exons. NCBI's taxonomy places the organism in Eukaryota, Metazoa, Arthropoda, Insecta, Diptera, Tephritidae.
UCGCUGCCGUACAUACGUACCUAAAUAUUUUAUUGUAUUUCAUGAUUAAUGCUGCAGUUUAGUAUUACGUAUGUAGUGUAAUCUAAGAAAAUAUGUACAUACAUACCAGAGGCCUGCACGAUUAAGGACUCUGCUGCAGAUCACUGGUUGGAACACAAAAAUGUGGAAAUAAGCUUCCCAAAUGCAACAGAGCACUAUAACACAAUUAAAAUGGGUUUCCAUAAUAAGUUUGGAAUAAAAGGAGUGAUUGGUGCUAUUGACUGCACCCAUGUUGCUAUAAUAGGAACGUCUUCGUCGUCUAACGUUAUUCCACAUGAAUAUAUGAACCGAAAGGGUUACUACAGUAUUAACGUAGAAGCGAUUUGUAACGACAAAUUUAGUUUUCGCCAUUUAAAUGCUCGUUUUCCUGGCUAGUGCCAUGACACCGGAAUUUCGAGAGCAUCGCCGGCCAGAAUAAAAUUAUUAAGGGAACAUUUUUCUGGUUCAUUUAAGUGGCUUCUAGGUGACUCCGGAUAUCCACUAGAGCCAUGGCUUUUGACUCCUAUGUCAAACCCAUCUGCACCAAUUAAAGUUCUUUAUAACAGGAACAUAAUUAAAAGAGCCUUUAGUGUUUUAAAGUCUAAUUUCCGUUGCUUAUCUAAAGAGCGAGUACUGAGGUAUACACCCUCAAACGCCGCGUUUUUAGUUUAUACUUGUUCAAUUUUCCACAACAUUUUGCAAGAACAUGGUAUUUGUGACUUCGAUGAAAUCGACAUUGAAAACUUUGAGGACUCUUCCUUCCAUGAUAAUUUUCCAGCUCAAACAAAUCAGUAUUACACUGCAGGAAUAAAUGCACGACGUAACUGCUUAAAUUCUCUCACACAAUCUUUGUAAAUAAAUAUCUUUACAAAUAAAUCUUUCAUUUAUAUUUUCAUAAAAAAAAAAAUUAUUCAGUCUUCUUUU